GAUGAACGCUGGCGGCGUGCCUAAUACAUGCAAGUCGAGCGAACGGACGAGAAGCUUGCUUCUUUGAUGUUAGCGGCGCACGGGUGUGUAACACGUGGAAACCCUACCUAUAAGACUGGGAUAACUUAGGGAAACAGGAGCUAAUACCGGAUAAUAUUUUGAACCGCAGGGUUCAAGAGUGAAAGACGGUGUUGCUGUCACUUAUCGUUGGAUUCGGGCUGGAUUGGCUGGUUGGUAAGGUAACGGCUUACGAAGGGAACGAUGGAUAGCCGACCGGGGAGGGGGAUCGGCCACAUUGGAACUGAGACAGGCCCCAUACUCCUACGGAAGGCAGCGGAAGGGAACCUUCCGCAAGGGGGGAAAGCCUGCCGGAGCAACCCGACGUGAGUGAUGAGGGUCUUCGGUUCGUAAGACUCUGUUAUUAGGGAAAAACAGAUUUGUAAGUAACGGUACACAGCUUGACGGUACCGAAUCAGAAAGCCACGGCUAACUACGUG
This 497-nucleotide ribosomal RNA is filed under the name uncultured bacterium. RNAcentral describes it as "partial 16S ribosomal RNA". It matches the Rfam family "Bacterial small subunit ribosomal RNA", at positions 28 to 507 of the family's 1533-position model. The record is from RNAcentral.